This 1534-nucleotide ribosomal RNA is filed under the name uncultured bacterium. RNAcentral's name for it is "partial 16S ribosomal RNA". It matches the Rfam family "Bacterial small subunit ribosomal RNA". The record is from RNAcentral.
AGAGUUUGAUCCUGGCUCAGGACGAACGCUGGCGGCGUGCCUAACACAUGCAAGUCGAACGGAAAUAAGCUCUAAGCUUGCUUAGAGCGAGUUUUAGUGGCGUUUUAGUGGCGGACGGGUGAGUAACGCGUGGGUAACCUACCCAUAAACCCGGGACAACCCUUGGAAACGAGGGCUAAUACCGGAUAAUCUUAAGAGCUGGCAUCAGCUUUUAAGGAAAGGUGGCCUCUGUAUAUGCUACCACUUACAGAUGAGUCUGCGUCCUAUCAGCUAGUUGGUGGGGUAAAAGCCUACCAAGGCGAAGACGGGUAGCCGGCCUGAGAGGGUGAACGGCCACACUGGGACUGAGACACGGCCCAGACUCCUACGGGAGGCAGCAGUGAGGAAUUUUCCGCAAUGGGCGCAAGCCUGACGGAGCGACGCCGCGUGAGGGAUGACGGCCUUCGGGUUGUAAACCUCUUUUAUUAGGGAAAAAGGCAAUCGUGCUAACACCACGGUUUGUUUGAUGGUACCUGUUGAAUAAGCCCCGGCUAACUACGUGCCAGCAGCCGCGGUAAUACGUAGGGGGCGAGCGUUGUCCGGAGUUACUGGGCGUAAAGAGCGUGUAGGCGGUUGGAAAAGUCAGGUGUGAAAUUCUUCGGCUCAACCGGGGGACUGCGCCUGAAACUUUCCGACUGGAGUUUGGGAGGGGGUGGUGGAAUUCCCGGUGUAGAGGGUGAAAUGUGUAGAUAUCAGGAGGAACACCCGUGGCGAAGGCGGGUUGCUGGACCAAAACUGACGCUGAGACGCGAAAGCGUGGGUAGCAAACAGGAUUAGAUACCCUGGUAGUCCACGCCCUAAACGAUGAGAACUAGGUGUUGGGUAGACCCCUUCUGCGCCACAGCUAACGCAAUAAGUACUCCGCCUGGGGAGUACGGUCGCAAGACUGAAACUCAAAGGAAUUGACGGGGGCCCGCACAAGCGGUGGAGUAUGUGGUUUAAUUCGACGCAACGCGAAGAACCUUACCAAGGCUUGACAUCCUGUGAUAUAGAAAUAUAGACUUCUUAGUUUACUAAGACACAGAGACAGGUGGUGCAUGGUUGUCGUCAGCUCGUGUCGUGAGAUGUUGGGUUAAGUCCCGCAACGAGCGCAACCCCUACAGCCAGUUGCCAGCACUCAGUUGGGCACUCUGGCAGAACUGCCGUUGACAAAACGGAGGAAGGUGGGGAUGACGUCAAAUCAUCAUGCCCCUUAUGUCUUGGGCUACACACGUACUACAAUGCCCGGUACAGCGAGUUGCAAAACCGCGAAGUUAAGCGAAUCCCUUAAAACAGGUCCCAGUUCGGAUUGUAGGCUGCAACUCGCCUACAUGAAGUUGGAAUCGCUAGUAAUCGCAGGUCAGCAUACUGCGGUGAAUACGUUCCCGGGCCUUGUACACACCGCCCGUCACACCACGAAAGUCGGCAACACCCGAAGCCGGUGACUCAACCCGAAAGGGAGAGAGCCGUCGAAGGUGGGGUUGGUAAUUGGGGUGAAGUCGUAACAAGGUAACCA